RNAcentral lists this ribosomal RNA (209 nucleotides) under uncultured bacterium. RNAcentral's name for it is "partial 16S ribosomal RNA". It matches the Rfam family "Bacterial small subunit ribosomal RNA", at positions 29 to 263 of the family's 1533-position model. The record is from RNAcentral.
AACGAACGCUGGCGGCAGGCUUAACACAUGCAAGUCGAACGGGCACCUUCGGGUGUCAGUGGCAGACGGGUGAGUAACGCGUGGGAACGUACCCUUCGGUUCGGAAUAACCCAGGGAAACUUGGGCUAACACCGGAUACGUCCGCAAGGAGAAAGAUUUAUCGCCGAAGGAUCGGCCCGCGUCGGAUUAGCUAGUUGGUGGGGUAAUGG